RNAcentral lists this long non-coding RNA (2065 nucleotides) under Lathyrus oleraceus (garden pea). RNAcentral describes it as "Pisum sativum (pea) long non-coding RNA (PSAT_LNC011082)". The record is from RNAcentral. Lineage: Eukaryota; Viridiplantae; Streptophyta; Magnoliopsida; Fabales; Fabaceae.
UGAGUAUCAAUUGGUAAAUUUAUUUUUAAUAUUAAAUCUCUCCACUCUCUAUUUGACAUUUUUAUCAUAAAACCUACUAAAUCAAAACUAAUACACUUUUUUUUCUAAUCCACUUUUUUUUUUCUAUUAUACGGUAUAAAAUAAGUUUAGAUAAUAAAGGUUUUAUUAUAUUAUAAUGAGAAAUAACAAAGAUCUCAAAAGGUCUAAUAUAAUAUCCAUAAUAGAAUACCACUCACUAUUCUAACCUCAAGAUAUUAAUAAAGUGCCACUUAAAUACUUCUCCUUCCUCUCAAAUCAAACAUUAUCUUAGUUGUAACUAAUUAUUAUUUUGAUAUAAUAAAUAAUAAUUAAUAAUUUAAAAAGUAAUAUAAUCAAUAGAAUUAAUUAUUUGACUUUACUAUCGUAUAUUAUUUAUGGAAUGAUGAGUAAAAUCAGGUCGUUGAUAAAAUAAAGUAAAGUAUAUAUAUGAGACAAACAAAUUUAGAUAUCCAAUAAUUAAUCUAAUUAUUUCUAUGAAUACCCGUUUAUUAUUCGGAUCACAAAUAAACCUAAUGUUAUAUUUUUAUGCAAUUUUAUAUUUUUAUGCGUAUACUUUUCUACUAUCCCAAUUUUAAUAUUUACAAAAAUUUAAAAGAGAAAAUGGAAUACAAGUUAGGUGUUUUCAUGGAAACAUUAAAAUUGAAGAGUACGGUAUUUUUGCUAGGUUCUUAAAAUUUAAUAUUGGUGAGGUUUCAGUUUAAUGAUUUGAAUUGAAAGAUAAUAUUGCUUAGGUUGUCUGUUUUUUGUUGUAUCUAUUCACAGUUGGCAUAUUGAGUAUCAAUUGGUAAAUUUAUUUUUAAUAUUAAAUCUCUUCACUCUCUAUUUGACAUUUUUAUCAUAAAACCUACGAAGUCAAAACUAAUGCACAUUUUUUUUUCUAAUGCACUUUUUUUUCUAUUGUACUGUAUAAAAUAAAUUUAGAUAAUAGAAAUUUUAUUAUAUUAUAAUGAGAAAUAACAAAGAUUUCUAAAGUUCUAAUAUAAUAUCCAUAAUAGAAUACCACUCACUAUUCUAACCUCAAGAUAUUAAUAAAGUGUCACUUAAAUACUUCUCCUUCCUCUCAAAUCAAACAUUACCUUAGUUGUAACUAAUUCUUAUUUUUAUAUAAUAAAUAAUAAUUAAUAAUUUAAAAAGUAAUAUAACCAUUAGAAUUAAUUACUUGACUUUACUAUUGUAUAUUAUUUAUGGAAAGAUGAGUAAAAUCAGGCCGUUGAUAAAAUAAAGUAUAUAUAAAUAGGAGACAAACAAAUUUAGAUAUCCAAUAAUUAAUCUAAUUAUUUCUAUGAAUACCCGUUUAUUAUUCAGAUCACAAAUAAACCUAAUGUUAUAUUUUUUAUGUAAUUUUAUAUUUUUAUGCGUGUAUUUUUCUACUAUCCCAAUUUUAAUAUUUACAAAAAUUUAAAAGAGAAAGUGGAGUACAAGUUAGGUGUUUUCAUAAAAACAUUAAAAUUGGAGAGUACGGUAUUUUUGUUAGGUUAUCCCAAUUUUAAUAUUUACAAAAAUUUAAAAGAGAAAGUGGAGUACAAGUUAGGUGUUUUCAUAAAAACAUUAAAAUUGGAGAGUACGGUAUUUUUGUUAGGUUCUUAAAAUUUAAUAUUGGUGAGGUUUCAGUUUAAUGUUUUGAAUUGAAAGAUAAUAUUGCUUAGGUUGUCUGUGUUUGGUUGGAUCUAUUCACAGUCGACAUAUUGAGUAUCAAUAGGUAAAUUUAUUUUUAAUAUUAAAUCUCUCCACUCUCUAUUUGACAUUUUUAUCAUAAAACUUACUAAAUCAAAACUAAUGCACUUUUUUUUUCUAAUGCACUUUUUUUUCUAUUUUACUGUAUAAAAUAAGUUUAGAUAAUAAAGGUUUUAUUAUAUUAUAAUGAAAAUAACAAAGAUCUCAAAAGGUCUAAUAUAAUAUCCAUAAUAGAAUACCACUCACUAUUCUAACCUCAAGAUAUUACUAAAGUGCCACUUAAAUACUUCUCCUUCCUCUCAAAUCAAACAUUACCUUAGUUGUAACUAAUUAUUAUUUUGAUAUAAUAAAU